AAACUAACCAGGAUUCCCCUAGUAACGGCGAGUGAAGCGGGAUGAGCUCAAGCUUAAAAUCUCUGUGCAAGUUUUGCAUGGCGAAUUGUAGUCUAUAGAGGCGCUGUCAGUGCAGCCGCUUGGGGUAAGUUCCUUGGAAGAGGACAGCAUCGAGGGUGAUACUCCCGUUUGUACCUGAGUGGUUUGCGCGUACGACACGUUUUCUUCGAGUCGCGUUGUUUGGGACUGCAGCGCAAAGUAGGUGGUAAAUUCCAUCUAAAGCUAAAUAUUGGUGCGAGACCGAUAGCGAACAAGUACCGUGAGGGAAAGAUGAAAAGAACUUUGAAAAGAGAGUUAAAGAGUACCUGAAACUGCUGAAAGGGAAGCGAAUCGUAUCCAGUGUCUAUAAUCCGUGGCAUAUUUCAUUGGCGACUGUGUGCGUGCGAUGCGUUGGAAGUGGCUUUUGUCGCUCCAUGUGUUGUUUCUGCGUGCGGUUGCUGGUGCCCUGUGUUGCGGUGGGACGUCAGAGUCAGUUCGUAUGCUGCGGGAAACGUCUGUUGAGGAGGUAGGUCGGGAGCUUGCUCUUGUCUGUUAUAUCUUGGCGGAUUGUGGUCGUGGUUGGGACUGAGGUGCCUACAACGUGCUUUGGAGUGUUCCGGGUUCUCACGUGGUGUGCUGUUUGUAUAGCUUGCUAUGCUUGUGGUGUUCACCGUUUGAUUGAGUCUGGUUUGUGCUUCUUGCCGUUCGGGACUUUGACGAAAUGGAGCGAUUCGG
RNAcentral lists this ribosomal RNA (753 nucleotides) under Globisporangium okanoganense. RNAcentral describes it as "LSU rRNA". It matches the Rfam family "Eukaryotic large subunit ribosomal RNA", at positions 62 to 647 of the family's 3401-position model. Lineage: Eukaryota; Oomycota; Peronosporomycetes; Pythiales; Pythiaceae. The record is from RNAcentral.